Molecule: ribosomal RNA, 595 nt
Filed under: Suillus spraguei
Lineage: Eukaryota; Fungi; Basidiomycota; Agaricomycetes; Boletales; Suillaceae
Description: partial 25S ribosomal RNA
Rfam family: Eukaryotic large subunit ribosomal RNA
Source: RNAcentral
GGAUUCCCCUAGUAACUGCGAGUGAACCGGGAAAAGCUCAAAUUUUGAAUCUGGCGGUCYAMGGGCCGUCCGAGUUGUAAUCUAGAGAAGCGUCUUCCGCGCUGGACCGUGUAUAAGUUUCCUGGAAUGGAACGUCGUAGAGGGUGACAAUCCCGUCUUUGACACGGACUCCCAGUGCUAUGUGAUGCGCUCUCGACGAGUCGAGUUGUUUGGGAAUGCAGCUCAAAUAGGGUGGUAAAUUCCAUCUAAAGCUAAAUACAGGCGAGAGACCGAUAGCGAACAAGUACCGUGAGGGAAAGAUGAAAAGAACUUUGGAAAGAGAGUUAAACAGUACGUGAAAUUGCUGAAAGGGAAACGCUUGAUGUCAGUCGCAUCGUCCGGGGAUCAGCCUCGCUCUUUUGCUCGGCGUACUUCCUGGUCGAUGGGUCAGCAUCGGUUUCGACCGUCGGAAAAUGGCUCGAGGAACGUGGCACUCUUCGGGGUGUGUUAUAGMCUCGAGUCGAAUACGACGGUCGGGACCGAGGAACUCAGCACGACCUUCGGGUUCGGGGCUUCGGCUCACGUUCGCGUGCUUAGGAUGCUGGCAUAAUGGCUU